GUGGAACUCUUCAUAAACAUUCAACUCUAGUGGUCAUAAGAUGUCUGGCCAUUUCCUCCUGAGCUUCUGUGUUCUAGGAUACCUUUUCAGCAAUGUCAGGGCUUGGGUUGUAAAGAUGCCAAGCCAUAUCAAAGGGAUGAAGGGUUCCUGCCUUGUCAUCCCUUGCACAUUUGACUACUAUCAAUACCCACCCAUGAGACCAGACCGUGUGGUUUGGUACCAGUAUGUGAACCGCGGAUAUCCUUUGGUUUAUGACAAUUGGUAUCCAAAUGCUGUCAUUUGGAUAUUUAACGGCAAAACAAGUAAAUAUCCCUCUACAUAUGGCAAAGACUGCAGUCUUCAAAUCAACCCAGUGGAUUGGCAUCACCACAGACAGAAGAUCUACCCCUGGGUAGAUCCAGAGAAUGUUGGGAAGAGUACCUACCGAUUCUAUGAUACAACUGUAACAAUUGAAGUAGUGGACAGGGCAGAGGAACCAGAAAUUAUGAUCUCUGGAGACAUGAAGGUGGGACAGUCUGUGACAGUGCAAUGCAGUGUUUAUCACACCUGUCCCACAUAUCCACCAAAGCUGAGUCUCAACAUCCCAGGACGCACCCGUCUCACUCAUAGUUCCCUGUCUGAUGGCACAUCCAAAACCACCUUGACAAUCAAGCUGAACAUAGUGAGAGACCAGCAAACUGUGGAGUGUGACGUUCGACACACUGGUGGUCGCACUGCAAAAGCGUCUCGAACCUUUUAUGCUCAGUGCUCCAUUUUACCACUGACUAUCAGCGAUACAUCAGAAGAAUUUCUUGAGGGAUAUCCCAAAAAAAUAACCUGCACUUCCUCAUACACAUGCUCUCAACAUAAACCAACUCUCACAUGGAACGAUGGUAGCAUGCCAGCCUCCACUACUGACAUCAAGAGUGGAAAUGCUCAGUGGCAAACUGUCUCCACGCUGACAUUCACAGCAUCAACUAAUGACCAUGGAAGAUCUCUGACAUGCUAUGCACGCUUCAAUGGAGGAGAGACGCAGCAAACAAGCAUUACCCUACGAGUUAAGAGAAAUAUGCUGUCCCGGGGUUGGUCCUUCACCACCCCUGGCAGCAUCACAGGUAUGAGAGGUUCCUGUGUCAUCAUUCCUUGCAGAUUCACUUACAGUACCUCUCAACCUGCUGACCUCCAAGUUAUAUGGUUCUUGUACCAGAGCAAUGGAUACCCACCUGUAUUUAGCCAAAGACAGGAUGUUAUUAGUAAGUUUCGUGGGAUAACCAGCUUGACUGGAUCUGUGAGCGAGGGGAAUUGUAGUCUUAAGAUUGAGAGCCUAGAGAUGUCACACAACCAGGAGAGACUUUAUCCAUGGGUGGAUAAGAACCCAAUUACCUCCUACCACACCCAAGGUUUCACAUUUUAUGAUAAAACGACUCAACUUAUUGUUUCAGACCAUGCCCAGGACCCACAGCUGAGUCUCAAUGGUAUCCCCAGGGUGGGAGAGCAGAGCACAGUGUCCUGCAGUGUGCAGCAUACAUGUCUCUCUCUUCCACCCAUCCUGAGUCUAUCUGGCAUACCUGGAACCGACCAUGUUAUGGACACUCUGGUAUCUGAUGAGAUUUGGGAGAGGAAAGUGGAGCGAACAUGGAGUGUAACAGAGGAAAACCAGGGUGUGAAGUGUACUGUUAGUUACCAUGGUGGUCAGAAAGCCACAAGUGAGCUCAAGCUCAAUGUCCAAUGUCCGUAUGACGACAUCAGGAUGGAUGAGUGGCAAGGCGAGGCGACAGAGGGUGUGGCAAAGAGUGUGAUUUGCUCUGUUUCCUACAAGUGCGAGAAAAAUACACCAAACAUUGUGUGGAAUUACAAAGACAUGCAGUAUUCAUUACACACUGAAGAAAUCUCUAGCAACACCUACAAAACAGUGUCAAAUCUAACCUUCAUUGGCUCUCUAGAGGAUGAUGGUAAAUCUUUGACCUGCACUGCUCGGUUUAUCACUGGGGAGACUUCAGACUCUGUAACACUUCAUAUAAAAAAAUAUGAAAAACCAAUUGAAGAAACAGAUCCACAUGAAAGAGACAUGUUGAGCAAUCUGGCUGCUGACGUUCCUUUCAGAUUCACCGCCCUAACCCGCUCCUGUGUGGUGAUUCCCUGCAGCUUCGAGCACCACGAGGUUCUGCCUAUGACACGUGGGAUCUGGUCCAAAAAAGCCGGGGGUGUUGUCUAUCAUAAUGGCAAGAGCAAUGUGCUUGACCAUUUCAAGGAUCGCACCAAACUAUUAGGACAUCUGCAGGAGGGAAACUGCUCACUAGAGAUUGAUGACAUCAAGCCCUUUGACAAUGGGCCCUUCUGUUUCCAUGCAGAGAGAGGAAACGAUGGAUACAAAUUCAACAACAGCUGUGUUUUUAUUGUUAUGAAAGCUUCCCCAGAAAAACCAGUGAUGACCCCAGUCCCAGCAGAAGUCGAUGCUGGCUCUACAAUCACUGUCUCGUGUUCUGUAACGCACACAUGUUCCUCACAUCCUCCAGUGUUCUCAUGGAGUGUCCAUGAACUCACCACUGAGGUCACACACACCUGGACGCCGCAAGGCAUCUGGGAGACAACUUCCACAAUCACUUUCACAGCUGCUGGAGGAGACGGACCCCAAGACCUAACUUGCACUGCCAUGUUCUGGCGUGGAAAGCAACAAGCCAGCACAGUUAAACUGAAUGUGAAGGGAUCCCUGAUGUACCAGUUGAGAAGAAGUCUCCCAGUAGCUACUCCAGUCUCAAUUCUAGUUCUGAUUAUUAUCACCUUAGCUGCAGUGUUUGGAGUGGUCAUCUAUAGGAGAAGGAGGCAUACUGAUGAUUCUAUGAGACCACCUCCUCGACCAGAGAAAAGAUUUGACAGAAAAGGCUUUGCUGUUUGAGAGAGGUCUCAAAGAAUUGGAGAAGCAUCAAGGAUUCUGCUGGGAGAAUUAAUCCCCCUUAAAACACACUCAUUAAAUCAACAAUACUAAAAAUACAGCACAUGAGAAGGAGGUUCGGGUGGUGGAGGGAAUUGCGACAGAAAACAGCAACAGAGUAAAGGUACGGUUUCAUUACAUCUGUUCAACAAAAUUUGCUGGCAGUCGGCUCUGACAAAGGACAUUAUGUAAUGUUUCUGAUACUUGCAAUAAACAAAUAUUGAUCUGAGCGAUCACAAACUGUGAACAGUGUAUGAGAGCAUCUUCAGCAGAAGCAAAUCGGAAAUGGAGAGAGUAUUCAUCGGAUGAAGGUGUAAUGCGACUAUACCUUAAUAGUGAGAGGGUUCAGGGCCUAAUGGUGGUGCAUGAGUAGGCCUAUGAUUGGACACAACUAGUCAGCUUUACUUGAAGAGUUUACCAACUUUUAUGUAAACAGUGUCACGGCUCUUGUCAAUCAGAUGUAAUUGUCUUUUUAAUAGUCAGCUGAUAGCCAAACUGUUUGUGAAUGAGCCAGAGAUUGUGAAAAAUGUAAAUCAGCUAAUGCUAACUGUAUGCUCCACAUACUGAAAACUUGAUCUUAAUUGUGACUGAACCCACAUGUCCUGUAUUUCCACCAAAAAGCAUUUUAAAUAUCUGUUUCUGCCAUUCAAACAUUCACAGGAGAUCGCUAUGGGGUAGAUUAUCCAGGCACUCCAUUUGGAGCAGAUUUUCCCGGUAAGAACACUUUUAAUCCACUUUAAUUCACUUUUAAUCCACAAUUGCCUCAUGUUUACAUUUCUACCCUCUUCAGUAGAGCAGAUGAUGGUCGCAUUGGUUGGCAAGCUGAGAGAAAACCCAAGUAGGUGCUCUCAAAUGUUGGUUUUAGUUUCCGCUCUCACUGUUAAAGUGGCUGUCUGUUUUAAAUUGAAUUGACACUGUUCUCAUAGGAAUUCUUCAACCUUCUGUUUAAUGCAGUUACAGUAAGAAAUCUUAAACAUAAAUUUAAAGUAUCAAUUACAUAAUUAACAUUAAUUACCCUUGCAGACACCAAGGCAACAGUGUGAACCUUGGUGUUGGCUAUUCAUACAUGUUAAACUAUGCUACACUGUUACAUCAAACAGUCUGAAAAGCAAAGACCAAAACUAAUAUUGUUCAUGUGGAUUCCCUCCUCCUAGAAACAACACCACCACUAUAAAUUACGAUCCUCCAAUCUCCAAACGUUUUCCUUCCCCAAAGGAUAAUCGGAGACCUCCUCGCCCUGCCAAGCCUGAGGU
Molecule: RNA transcript, 4164 nt
Organism: Thunnus maccoyii (southern bluefin tuna)
Lineage: Eukaryota; Metazoa; Chordata; Actinopteri; Scombriformes; Scombridae
Exons: 16
Source: RefSeq, a predicted model, not a curated record